RNAcentral lists this ribosomal RNA (433 nucleotides) under uncultured bacterium. Its description in RNAcentral is "partial 16S ribosomal RNA". It matches the Rfam family "Bacterial small subunit ribosomal RNA", at positions 29 to 507 of the family's 1533-position model. The record is from RNAcentral.
AACGAACGCUGGCGGCAUGCCUAACACAUGCAAGUCGAACGAGACCUUCGGGUCUAUUGGCGCACGGGUGCGUAACGCGUGGGAACCUGCCCUUAGGUUCGGAAUAACUCCCCGAAAGGGGUGCUAAUACCGGAUAAUGUCUUCGGACCAAAGAUUUAUCGCCUUUGGAUGGGCCCGCGUUGGAUUAGCUAGUUGGUAGGGUAAAAGCCUACCAAGGCGACGAUCCAUAGCUGGUCUGAGAGGAUGAUCAGCCACACUGGGACUGAGACACGGCCCAGACUCCUACGGGAGGGAGCAGUGGGGAAUAUUGGACAAUGGGCGAAAGCCUGAUCCAGCAAUGCCGCGUGAGUAAUGAAGGCCUUAGGGUUGUAAAGCUCUUUUACCCGGGAUGAUAAUGACAGUACCGGGAGAAUAAGCUCCGGCUAACUACGUG